This 99-nucleotide long non-coding RNA is filed under the name Bos indicus x Bos taurus (hybrid cattle). RNAcentral describes it as "lncRNA (ENSBIXG00005030645.1)". The record is from RNAcentral. Lineage: Eukaryota; Metazoa; Chordata; Mammalia; Artiodactyla; Bovidae.
GGAUGGUGCCGGGAGAGGCGCUGCAGCCUGCCCCAGUGGAACUGGUUCAGGGAACCCUGAGAGGACAACCACUCCCUGAAAGGUUUCCAAGGGAGACGA